RNAcentral lists this ribosomal RNA (492 nucleotides) under Tetrix bolivari. RNAcentral's name for it is "partial 16S ribosomal RNA". It matches the Rfam family "Bacterial large subunit ribosomal RNA", at positions 1847 to 2597 of the family's 2925-position model. The record is from RNAcentral. Lineage: Eukaryota; Metazoa; Arthropoda; Insecta; Orthoptera; Tetrigidae.
AAAGGUCGUGCCUGCUCACUGAUUUAUUAAAGAGCCGCGGUAUUUUGACCGUGCAAAGGUAGCAUAAUCAUUAGUAUAUUAAUUGUAUACUGGAAUGAAAGGUUUGACGAGAAAUAUACUGUCUCUAUUAUAUUUUUAUAAUUUUACUUUCUAGUUAAAAGGCUGGGAUUUUUUUUUUGGACGAUAAGACCCUAUAGAGUUUGAUUUUAAAUAUUUUAUUAUUUUGGGUUAAGCUAUUAAUAAUUAAUUUUAUUGUUAGUUUUGUUGGGGUGAUGUGAAUAAUAAUUAAACUGUUCAUUAUUUUUAUCAUUGAUUUAUGUUUUUUAUGAUCUUGUAUUAUUGAUAUAAAGAUAAAAUUACCUUAGGGAUAACAGCGCAAUUAUCUUUGAGAGUUCUUAUUGACAAGAUAGAUUGUGACCUCGAUGUUGGAUUAAGAUUAUUUUUUAGGUGAAGGUGCUUAAUUUAGUUGGUCUGUUCGACCAUUAAAAUCUU